GGCGCGUCUCUUGCUAAAUGAUCGGCACAGGGCAGCCAACGGCGGUUGCCUGUCGAACGACAAAGGCGUCGC
Molecule: non-coding RNA, 72 nt
Filed under: unclassified sequences
Description: narK RNA
Rfam family: narK RNA
Source: RNAcentral